Molecule: transfer RNA, 86 nt
Filed under: Bacteroidetes bacterium SW_11_45_7
Lineage: Bacteria; Pseudomonadati; Bacteroidota
Description: tRNA-Tyr
Rfam family: tRNA
About the family: Transfer RNA (tRNA) molecules are approximately 80 nucleotides in length. Their secondary structure includes four short double-helical elements and three loops (D, anti-codon, and T loops).
Source: RNAcentral
GGGGGGAUACCAAAGCGGUCAACUGGGGCAGACUGUAAAUCUGCUGGCGUAAGCCUUCGUAGGUUCGAAUCCUGCUCCCCCCACCA